AGGGCACCACCAGGAGUGGAGCCUGCGGCUUAAUUUGACUCAACACGGGGAAACUUACCCGGCCUGGACACUGGAAGGAUUGACAGAUUGAGAGCUCUUUCUUGAUUCAGUGGGUGGUGGUGCAUGGCCGUUCUUAGUUGGUGGAGCGAUUUGUCUGGUUAAUUCCGAUAACGAACGAGACUCUAGCCUAUUAAAUAGGCUCUCGGCUUUUAAACGCCGGGAGGACUUCUUAGAGGGACAGGUGGCGGUUCAGCCGCACGAAAGAGAGCAAUAACAGGUCUGUGAUGCCCUUUGUUGUCCGGGGCCGCACGCGCGCUACACUGAAGAGAUCAGCGUGCUUUACGUUCCUGCUCCGACCGGAGUGGGGAACCCAGUGAACCUUCUUCGUGAUUGGGAUAGAAGAUUGUAAUUAUUCUUCUUGAACGAGGAAUUCCCAGUAAAUGCGAGUCAUAAGCUCGCGUUGAUUACGUCCCUGCCCUAUGUACACGCCGCCCGUCGCUACUACCGAUUGAACGAUUU
RNAcentral lists this ribosomal RNA (519 nucleotides) under uncultured eukaryote. Its description in RNAcentral is "SSU rRNA". It matches the Rfam family "Eukaryotic small subunit ribosomal RNA", at positions 1161 to 1699 of the family's 1831-position model. The record is from RNAcentral.